ACGUGGGUGAGUCGGUCCUAAGGGAUGGGCGAAAGCCUGUGAGUUAAGCGCGCAUUCGUGGUACGUGCCCGUGUUUACCUGAGGGGCUGCGUGCUUUUGCGCUUCACGGCGUGGGAGUGCGUGGCGCUGAGGGUGGCGUGGGUGCGUCUACGGCUUGAAAGAGUGGCGUGAUCUCCCGAAAGGGAAUCGGGUUAAUAUUCCCGAACCGGACACUUGGAUGCUGCCGGCGUUGUCGGUUGGGCUUCGGCUCGGCUGCUACAGCAAAGGUAGGCCACGGCGACGUAUACGACCUCGGAGACGCCUGCGAUAGACCUGGGAAGAGUUGUCUUUUCUUCUUGACCGUACCUACCGUGCACUUGGCCCUGGAAGCAGUUUACCUUGAGAUAGGGCUGGAGGUCGGGCAAAGCGUCGUACUUGUUGCGGCGUCCGGUGCUCUGUCGUGGGUCCUUGAAAAUCUGAGGAAGCGUGUUUGYGAUCUCGUGUUCGGCCGUACCCAUCACCGCA
Molecule: ribosomal RNA, 504 nt
Filed under: Hyalonema sp. HBOI 21-V-93-1-006
Lineage: Eukaryota; Metazoa; Porifera; Hexactinellida; Amphidiscosida; Hyalonematidae
Description: eukaryotic LSU rRNA
Rfam family: Eukaryotic large subunit ribosomal RNA
Source: RNAcentral